UGGGGAAUAUUGCACAAUGGGGGAAACCCUGAUGCAGCGACGCCGCGUGAGCGAAGAAGGCUUUCGAGUCGUAAAGCUCUGUCCUAUGAGAAGAUAAUGACGGUAUCAUAGGAGGAAGCCCUGGCUAAAUACGUGCCAGCAGCCGCGGUAAUACGUAUGGGGCGAGCGUUGUCCGGAAUUAUUGGGCGUAAAGGGUACGUAGGUGGUUUUUUAAGUCAGGUGUCAAAGCGUGGAGCUUAACUCCAUUAAGCACUUGAAACUGAAAGACUUGAGUGAAGGAGAGGAAAGUGGAAUUCCUAGUGUAGCGGUGAAAUGCGCAGAUAUUAGGAGGAAUACCGGUGGCGAAGGCGACUUUCUGGCCAUAAUCUGACGCUGAGGUACGAAAGCGUGGGUAGCAAACAGG
This 403-nucleotide ribosomal RNA is filed under the name Verrucomicrobiota bacterium. RNAcentral describes it as "Verrucomicrobia bacterium partial 16S ribosomal RNA". It matches the Rfam family "Bacterial small subunit ribosomal RNA", at positions 355 to 776 of the family's 1533-position model. The record is from RNAcentral. Lineage: Bacteria; Pseudomonadati; Verrucomicrobiota.